AACGAACGCUGGCGGCAUGCCUAACACAUGCAAGUCGAACGAGACCUUCGGGUCUAGUGGCGCACGGGUGCGUAACGCGUGGGAACCUGCCCUUAGGUUCGGAAUAACUCCCCGAAAGGGGUGCUAAUACCGGUUAAUGUCUUCGGACCAAAGAUUUAUCGCCUUUGGAUGGGUCCGCGUUGGAUUAGCUAGUUGGUAGGGUAAAAGCCUACCAAGGCGACGUUCCAUAGCUGGUCUGAGAGGAUGAUCAGCCACACUGGGACUGAGACACGGCCCAGACUCCUACGGGAGGCAGCAGUAGGGAAUAUUGGACAAUGGGCGAAAGCCUGAUCCAGCAAUGCCGCGUGAGUGAUGAAGGCCUUAGGGUUGUAAAGCUCUUUUACCCGGGAUGAUAAUGACAGUACCGGGAGAAUAAGCGCCGGCUAACUCCGUG
RNAcentral lists this ribosomal RNA (433 nucleotides) under uncultured bacterium. RNAcentral's name for it is "partial 16S ribosomal RNA". It matches the Rfam family "Bacterial small subunit ribosomal RNA", at positions 29 to 507 of the family's 1533-position model. The record is from RNAcentral.